This 373-nucleotide ribosomal RNA is filed under the name uncultured bacterium. RNAcentral describes it as "bacterial SSU rRNA". It matches the Rfam family "Bacterial small subunit ribosomal RNA", at positions 29 to 419 of the family's 1533-position model. The record is from RNAcentral.
AACGAACGCUGGCGGCAUGCCUAACACAUGCAAGUCGAACGGGAUCCUGGUUUCGGCCAGGUGAGAGUGGCGGACGGGUGAGUAACGCGUGGGAACCUGCCCAGUGGUGGGGGAUAACUGCGGGAAACUGCAGCUAAUACCGCAUGAGCCCGAAAGGGGAAAGAUUGAUCGCCAUUGGAGGGGCCCGCGUUCGAUUAGGUAGUUGGUGAGGUAACGGCUCACCAAGCCUUCGAUCGANAGCUGGUCUGAGAGGAUGAUCAGCCACACUGGGACUGAGAUACGGCCCAGACUCCUACGGGAGGCAGCAGUGGGGAAUAUUGGACAAUGGGGGCAACCCUGAUCCAGCAAUGCCGCGUGAGUGAUGAAGGCCUUC